This 831-nucleotide long non-coding RNA is filed under the name Bos taurus (domestic cattle). RNAcentral describes it as "long non-coding RNA NONBTAT018095". The record is from RNAcentral. Lineage: Eukaryota; Metazoa; Chordata; Mammalia; Artiodactyla; Bovidae.
UGAUUUCUCUGGGGACAUGAUUCACAAAGAAUACUCUUCAAGUCUUUGUCUCCAUAUGGAAUCAUUGAAACUACUAUUUAUCAUCACCACUACUUACGAGCCUGGGUUUGGAAUUCCGUGUAUGUUGUUCAGUCUCGUGUUGGUAGCAUGACAAAAAGUGGGGAAAAUGCUGCAGUUUGUUGCCUUGAAACCUGUUCUAAGAGAAAGCCUUGGUUUUGUUGGUAGGAGAUUAUUUUUUCAAACCAGCAAAUCUACCAAGUAAAUUUCGUUCACUUUGACCUUAGUAGACUCCCUCAAUUUUCAGCUCUUUGUGUGGCUUGACAAAAUUCACUGCACUGUUAUGCAGCUCUGAAUUUACCUUGAUGAACCAGAUUACUUUCACAAUUUAUUAAAUCAAAAACAAAAUGUAUUGAAACUUCCUUAACUGUUUUAGGGAUAGGGGAUCCUUUAUUAUCCCAUCAGAUGAGUGAGCUUUUCAUAAACAUUUUAUGUAAAAAAUAAAUUCAACUUUUUUUCUCCAAGGAUAUUUAUAUAAAUCCAAAGAAUUAGAGUAGUUUCAAAAUAAUAUUUAGUAAUUAAAAUGUGGUAUAAUUUAAUUAUAAUACACUAAAUUUGAAAUAUAUCUAAGGGGCUUUCUCUUACCAUCAAUAGAUUUUGCAAUAUUUCUUUAUAUUUGUGGGGGAAUAACUUAAAUUUUAUCAGGAACUAAAAGGUAAAUAAGGCUUAUAAAUUUUCUGCCCCUUAAAUUUAUGUCACAGUACAAGAUGCUUUUUCUUCCUUACACUUAAUACAAACAGCUUCCAUUGGCAGUAAUAGUUGGGAGUAGUAGUA